AGCGUACACGGUGGAUGCCCUGGCAGUCAGAGGCGAUGAAGGACGUGCUAAUCUGCGAAAAGCGCCGGCGAGGUGAUAUGAACCCUUGACCCGGCGAUGUCCGAAUGGGGAAACCCAGUGCAAUUCGUUGCACUAUCGUUAACUGAAUACAUAGGUUAACGAGGCGAACCGGGGGAACUGAAACAUCUAAGUACCCCGAGGAAAAGAAAUCAACCGAGAUUCCCCCAGUAGCGGCGAGCGAACGGGGAGCAGCCCGGAGUCUGAAUCAGCUUGUGUGUUAGUGGAACGGUCUGGAAAGUCCGACGGUACAGGGUGAUAGUCCCGUACACGAAAGCACACAUGCUGUGAACUCGAAGAGUAGGGCGGGACACGUGGUAUCCUGUCUGAAUAUGGGGGGACCAUCCUCCAAGGCUAAAUACUCCUGACUGACCGAUAGUGAACCAGUACCGUGAGGGAAAGGCGAAAAGAACCCCGGCGAGGGGAGUGAAAAAGAACCUGAAACCGUGUACGUACAAGCAGUGGGAGCCUCUUUAUGGGGUGACUGCGUACCUUUUGUAUAAUGGGUCAGCGACUUAUAUUCUGUAGCAAGGUUAACCGUAUAGGGGAGCCGAAGGGAAACCGAGUCUUAACUGGGCGUUAAGUUGCAGGGUAUAGACCCGAAACCCGGUGAUCUAGCCAUGGGCAGGUUGAAGGUUGGGUAACACUAACUGGAGGACCGAACCGACUAAUGUUGAAAAAUUAGCGGAUGACCUGUGGCUGGGGGUGAAAGGCCAAUCAAACCGGGAGAUAGCUGGUUCUCCCCGAAAGCUAUUUAGGUAGCGCCUCGUGAACUCAUCUUCGGGGGUAGAGCACUGUUUCGGCUAGGGGGCCAUCCCGGCUUACCAACCCGAUGCAAACUACGAAUACCGAAGAAUGUUAUCACGGGAGACACACGGCGGGUGCUAACGUCCGUCGUGAAGAGGGAAACAACCCAGACCGCCAGCUAAGGUCCCAAAGUCAUGGUUAAGUGGGAAACGAUGUGGGAAGGCACAGACAGCCAGGAUGUUGGCUUAGAAGCAGCCAUCAUUUAAAGAAAGCGUAAUAGCUCACUGGUCGAGUCGGCCUGCGCGGAAGAUGUAACGGGGCUAAACCAUGCACCGAAGCUGCGGCAGCGACACUAUGUGUUGUUGGGUAGGGGAGCGUUCUGUAAGCCGUUGAAGGUGUGCUGUGAGGCAUGCUGGAGGUAUCAGAAGUGCGAAUGCUGACAUAAGUAACGAUAAAGCGGGUGAAAAGCCCGCUCGCCGGAAGACCAAGGGUUCCUGUCCAACGUUAAUCGGGGCAGGGUGAGUCGACCCCUAAGGCGAGGCCGAAAGGCGUAGUCGAUGGGAAACAGGUUAAUAUUCCUGUACUUGGUGUUACUGCGAAGGGGGGACGGAGAAGGCUAUGUCAGCCGGGCGACGGUUGUCCCGGUUUAAGCAUGUAGGCGGAGGUUCCAGGUAAAUCCGGUACCUUUUUAACGCUGAGGUGUGAUGACGAGGCACUACGGUGCUGAAGUGAUAAAUGCCCUGCUUCCAGGAAAAGCCUCUAAGCAUCAGGUAACACGAAAUCGUACCCCAAACCGACACAGGUGGUCAGGUAGAGAAUACCAAGGCGCUUGAGAGAACUCGGGUGAAGGAACUAGGCAAAAUGGUGCCGUAACUUCGGGAGAAGGCACGCUGAUGUGUAGGUGAAGCCCCUGCGGGCGGAGCUGAAAUCAGUCGAAGAUACCAGCUGGCUGCAACUGUUUAUUAAAAACACAGCACUGUGCAAACACGAAAGUGGACGUAUACGGUGUGACGCCUGCCCGGUGCCGGAAGGUUAAUUGAUGGGGUUAGCGGCAACGCGAAGCUCUUGAUCGAAGCCCCGGUAAACGGCGGCCGUAACUAUAACGGUCCUAAGGUAGCGAAAUUCCUUGUCGGGUAAGUUCCGACCUGCACGAAUGGCGUAAUGAUGGCCAGGCUGUCUCCACCCGAGACUCAGUGAAAUUGAACUCGCUGUGAAGAUGCAGUGUACCCGCGGCAAGACGGAAAGACCCCGUGAACCUUUACUAUAGCUUGACACUGAACACUGGUCCUUGAUGUGUAGGAUAGGUGGGAGGCUUUGAAGCGUGGACGCCAGUCUGCGUGGAGCCAACCUUGAAAUACCACCCUUUAAUGGCUGGUGUUCUAACGUAGACCCGUAAUCCGGGUUGCGGACAGUGUCUGGUGGGUAGUUUGACUGGGGCGGUCUCCUCCCAAAGAGUAACGGAGGAGCACGAAGGUUGGCUAAUCCUGGUCGGACAUCAGGAGGUUAGUGCAAUGGCAUAAGCCAGCUUGACUGCGAGCGUGACGGCGCGAGCAGGUGCGAAAGCAGGUCAUAGUGAUCCGGUGGUUCUGAAUGGAAGGGCCAUCGCUCAACGGAUAAAAGGUACUCCGGGGAUAACAGGCUGAUACCGCCCAAGAGUUCAUAUCGACGGCGGUGUUUGGCACCUCGAUGUCGGCUCAUCACAUCCUGGGGCUGAAGUAGGUCCCAAGGGUAUGGCUGUUCGCCAUUUAAAGUGGUACGCGAGCUGGGUUUAGAACGUCGUGAGACAGUUCGGUCCCUAUCUGCCGUGGGCGCUGGAGAAUUGAGGGGGGCUGCUCCUAGUACGAGAGGACCGGAGUGGACGCAUCACUGGUGUUCGGGUUGUCAUGCCAAUGGCACUGCCCGGUAGCUAAAUGCGGAAGAGAUAAGUGCUGAAAGCAUCUAAGCACGAAACUUGCCCCGAGAUGAGUUCUCCCUGAGACCUUGA
Molecule: ribosomal RNA, 2788 nt
Filed under: Enterobacter hormaechei YT3
Lineage: Bacteria; Pseudomonadati; Pseudomonadota; Gammaproteobacteria; Enterobacterales; Enterobacteriaceae
Description: bacterial LSU rRNA
Rfam family: Bacterial large subunit ribosomal RNA
Source: RNAcentral